RNAcentral lists this ribosomal RNA (377 nucleotides) under uncultured bacterium. RNAcentral's name for it is "bacterial SSU rRNA". It matches the Rfam family "Bacterial small subunit ribosomal RNA", at positions 521 to 896 of the family's 1533-position model. The record is from RNAcentral.
UAAUACGUAGGGGGCAAGCGUUGUCCGGAAUCAUUGGGCGUAAAGAGCGCGUAGGCGGUCCGGUAAGUCCGCUGUAAAAGUCAAGGGCUCAACCCUUGAAAGCCGGUGGAUACUGUCGGACUAGAGUCCGGAAGAGGCGAGUGGAAUUCCUGGUGUAGCGGUGAAAUGCGCAGAUAUCAGGAGGAACACCAAUGGCGAAGGCAGCUCGCUGGGACGGUACUGACGCUGAGGCGCGAAAGCGUGGGGAGCAAACAGGAUUAGAUACCCUGGUAGUCCACGCCGUAAACGAUGGGCACUAGGUGUGGGAGGUGUCGACUCCUCCCGUGCCGCAGCUAACGCACUAAGUGCCCCGCCUGGGGAGUACGGCCGCAAGGUUA